RNAcentral lists this unclassified non-coding RNA (374 nucleotides) under uncultured bacterium. Its description in RNAcentral is "contains 16S-23S intergenic spacer region". The record is from RNAcentral.
UCCGGUUUGUCACCGGCAGUCUCGCAUGAGUCCCCAACUAAAUGCUGGCAUCAUGCGACAGGGGUUGCGCUCGUUGCGGGACUUAACCCAACAUCUCACGACACGAGCUGACGACAACCAUGCACCACCUGUAUACCGCCCUUGCGGACCCCGUAUCUCUACGAGUUUUCGGUAUAUGUCAAGCCUUGGUAAGGUUCUUCGCGUUGCGUCGAAUUAAACCACAUGCUCCACCGCUUGUGCGGGCCCCCGUCAAUUCCUUUGAGUUUCAGCCUUGCGGCCGUACUCCCCAGGCGGGACACUUACUGCGUUAGCGACGGCACCGAGGGGGUCGCUCCCCCCGACGCCUAGUGUCCAUCGUUUACGGCGUGGACUAC